AGCAGGACAGGAGGUCUGCCCUUCUAAUGUCAGCCAAGAAGACUCCAUCAUUGCUACGGACCAGGGACUGCCAUGCGUUUCCCAAGCUUUUUCUUUUCUGAGUUCAUAUCAUGGUUAUCCUACCUCUGCCCCACCCCUGCAUUUCAUGGUAGUGUGAUGAGUCGGGGGAACAAGCUCUUUGUCGUUUGGUUUAUGGACUAAGGAACCAAGACUGGAUCUGAUGGAGGGAAUUGCACAUCACCUAGAGAUCAUGGAUAUUACGUUGCCCGCAGUGAAUGGGUGGGGCAUUUGGCUCUUUCCGGUGACAGUCAAGUGAGCCUGUUCCUUGGGAAGAAAGAAUCAUAUGUAUUUUGGGUGGUCAGAGAGGCCGAUGGGUCAAGAUUGCUAGCUGGCCCUCCACUUCAGCAAGCUCUUCCAGUCCUGGGGCUGACCUGGAUGAUCUUUCUGAGAUCUCUGCAUGGAUGCCCUUUUCUUGCUUUUGCAACAUUUUCAGUGUAAAUGUCAUCUCUUCAGCAAGGACUUUCAUCACCACCAGAGCUAAGUGGUCCUCACCCCAGGCAUUUCCAACCCAUUACUGUUUUGUUUUCUUCUUAGCACUUAAUCGUUAUCUGACAUUCUUCCAUUGAUUUGCUGCUUUCUGUGUUUAUUGCAUGUUUCUUUUGUCUAGACAGUGAGCUCUAUGAAGACGAGACUUUGUCUGGAUUAAAGAUCAGUUCACUUCUGAGUUCCCGGAGUUUAUCACGACCUGCCUAAAGAUGGCCUUGGUUGACUGAAUGAAUGAAGCCAAACUAGGUGCUCUUGCAAAUCCUGUUCCUCAUACUCUGUCUUGGUGGCAAGUGGGUUCAAUAGAUGACUUCCUGCGGUGAGAGGCUAAGAGAGUGGGAGGAAUGUCAUUUUUCAGUCGACAGAAAUAAGAGAGACCGCCCUGGCUGCCAUGUUGAGACUAGCUUGCCAUGGAUAAGAGAAGAAUCAAGAAGACCAGGUAAGAAGCAAUCGAGGUGCUUCUGGUGUGAGGUGCUUCUGGUGUAAAGUGCUUAGCUGGGGUGGCAGCAGAGAAAGGGGUGGGAGUGGUCAGCCUGAGUCCACUCUGGCACAUGGCACUGACGGAGCUUGCUGAUGGUGGGAGGUGGGUGUGAGGGGAAGAGAGGAGACAAAGAUGAAGUCAUCCAAGGACUAGUGGGCUGAGCAAUGGGAAGGGUGGAGUUGCCAUCCACUGAGUUUGUAUUUCUCUGUUUCUGGAACUCAGUGGUAAACUUCUGGCAGACAGGAACCAGCGUCUUGUGUAUUCUGUAACCUUCAUACAAACAUGAUCAAAAUUAUGCUAAAUGUAAAAUGAAGUUUAAAGUUCCCCUUAUAGGGUCUUUUCUGGCCCACAGAGGGGUCUCAACGUUGACCUUGGGGCCAGCCAACCAAUGAUCGCUCUCCUUUCCAUGCUGUGUGGAACCCACUUGCUCCUCUGGUGGUGACUUUUGGAUGGCCACGGGGGUAGGUUUCUGCCUAUCUAGUCAAACUAUUAUUUAACCCUUCAUAUGGGUCCAGGUACUUUCCUGAACAGGAGAAUUUCUAGAGAGAGGGAUGGAGGCGGAGGGUGGGAAAUCAGCUCUCAUCCCCUUUAACCAUCUUGUUCUCUUCUUGCUGCAAGACUCCAACAAGGUGAACUUAACCCAGAGGAUACAAGGAAAACAUUUUUGAAGCUUUUUAUAGGGCCGGUUCAGUAAUGUAAAUGUCUGCUUCUGUCCAGGGAUAAACAAUAGGGAGUAAUUGGUACCGAUGCAGCAAACCAGAGUCCCAGGCAAUUGCUGCUGUGUAGAACUGGAGGUGCAAUAAACCAGGCAUGUGUGUGAGCCUAUUGCAGCCCAGGAACCCCUCCUUCCCCAGCCCUGGCCUGAGCAUCAGAGAAGUCCCUUUAAGACCUUCCCUUUCUUCUCAUUGUCCUGUUCUUCCCAGAGUCCUCUCUUGGAUCCAUUCAUUGUUGGUGCUCCUUAUGCACCAUCCUGCAUUAUUUCCACAUUCUUACACCCCCUUAAGAAGUACCUGGGUCCUAGAUACUUUCAAGCCUCUAUGUCUUGCCAACUGUUUCUGUAAGUGCUGCAGGUGUUUGUCUAUUGCUAUCAAGUGCAUACCGUAAGUUAAAGAUACUUUAUUGCUACAAAAUGUUAACCAUCAUCUGAGCCUUCAGCAAGUUACAGUAGUAAUAUCAAUGAUCGCUGAUCACAGAUCACCUUAGCAAAUAUAAUAAUAAUGAAAAAGUUUGAGAAUUACCGAAAUGUAACACAGAGACACCUAGCGAGCCACUGCUGUAGGAAAAAAUGGCACUAAUAAACUCGCUGGAUGCCACAGCGUUGCCAUAAACCUUCAAUUUAUAAAAUUCAAUAUUGUCAAAGUGUAAUAAAAUGAGGUAUGCCUGUAUUUCAACAGUGCUUCUCCUUUAGGGUCUUUCCUUGUAAAUUACUGAAACCUCUAGGGGUUCAACCCAAAGGUUCUCACUUAGAUUAUUUACAUAAAGAUGUUCAUAAUCCCAUGGAAUAACAAAUCUUUAUUACAAAAUUGAGUCUCGUGUUUAGGAAUCUUUGGAGAAGGAAGUUUAAAUACCAAGAAAGAUAUAUUAAGAAAUAAAUUGUGGGAAGAUCGAGGGAAAUUGAGGGGAAAAAAAUCCACUGAUGAGCAUAUUUCAAUAGAGCUUUGACCUACUGGUAGCUCAUCUCUGCACAGCCUCUUCCCAUAGCCCUUCCUACAUGAGCGCCUCCUCCAGGAAGUGGGGCUGUUUGUUAUCAAGCACGUCCAUGUGUUCUUUCUCAGUAAACCAAAAGAUUUCCAAUUUAUCGGAGGGAUUUCAACUCUAGCAAAAUGUUCAGUGUCCCCAAAGCUAUUCAAUACUCUUCAUUAUUCUUAUAACGAUCAGUAGAACACCCUCAUUUAUGUUUAUAUUUUUCCAAAGAUAAAAAUUGGAGCAAUUGGAGGAGGGGGAGAGAUUCAUGGAUACAAAUGGCUUGAUCUUUUCACCUGUUUCACUGGCUCUUUUUUUGAAUGUUGACUUAAUUUUAUACAUCUAGGUAUUCCCACUUCACCCAUUUUGUGGGUGCUUCAGGUGGCCCAAAUAGGAAGGGCCUAUUUAUCGAUUUUUUCUUCUGUGAAUGUGGCCACUGUCCUCUUAGCCUGUGAACAUAAGGUCUGCCGUCCUCUUGCUCUUACUGGUGGGGCAUGGGGGAGGGGUUGUACCCUGAAGAGGCAAAAAUCAUUUCAAAUCCCCUGAAGACCAAAAUAUCAAGAAUUAGAGGGCAAUGUAAUGGCUGGGAGAGGGAAGAAAGGACAGAAGCAAAUAGUUGACAGGUCUCUAAAAUUUUAAUUUUCAGCCCAAAGAAUUUCUUGAAAGGCACCUUUGAGGGGGAGGGCUCAUUGAUUUUCUUUUCUUUUUUUUUGACUUUUUAGGGCCGCACAUGUGGUAUAUGGAAGUUCCCAGACUAGGGGUGGAAUCAGAACUGUAGCUGCUUGCCUACAACCACAGUCAAGCAAUGCCAGAUCCAAACUGUGUCUGUGACCUACACGGCAAUUCACAGCAACACUGGAUCCUUAACCCACUGAGCGAGGCCAGGGAUCGAACCCAUAUCCUCAUGGAUCCUAGUUGGCUUCAUUACUGCUGAGCUUCAAAGGACACUCUCACUGAUUUUUUAAAAAUUUCCGUAGUUUCUUUCCAAGUCCUGCUUCUGUGACUGCUGCUGGAUGUCAACUCACAAGCGCAAAAGAGGUCACCAAGGUUCCCAAGGCUUUUCAGAGAACAAAAGGGAACCUGCUUCACACUGAUAAAUGACUUGCCUUAGCACCUGUAAGUCUGUUUCACAUUUCACGUCAACCUUUCUUCAUGGGCUGAUAACAGCAACUGAAAAUGAAUCCUGACAGCCUGUUGUGAUUUCACAGUAUCCAGCAGGAAAGCCCAGCUUAAUUGUGAGCAUAUGAUUUUUUUUCUUUCAAGCACUGAAUUUUCUAUUGAGUCCACUGCUCUGAUAAAAUCUACUUAUUUAGCAGUUGCUAAUCAUUGGGGCAUUCAUUCUUUUUCUCCCAUGAUUCUAGCAAGUUGGAGUUUGCUUUCUAACAAGCCACUGAACUGCU
RNAcentral lists this long non-coding RNA (4107 nucleotides) under Sus scrofa (pig). Its description in RNAcentral is "lncRNA (ENSSSCG00000051707.2)". Lineage: Eukaryota; Metazoa; Chordata; Mammalia; Artiodactyla; Suidae. The record is from RNAcentral.